This 498-nucleotide ribosomal RNA is filed under the name uncultured bacterium. Its description in RNAcentral is "partial 16S ribosomal RNA". It matches the Rfam family "Bacterial small subunit ribosomal RNA", at positions 30 to 523 of the family's 1533-position model. The record is from RNAcentral.
AUUGAACGCUGGCGGCAUGCUUUACACAUGCAAGUCGAGCGGUAACAGGGUGCUUGCACCGCUGACGAGUGGCGAACGGGUGCGUAACGCGUGAGCAACCUACCCAUAACAGGGGGAUAGCCCGGAGAAAUCCGGAUUAACACCGCAUGUUACAGUAUUACCGCAUGGUAUAGCUGUUAAAUAUUUAUAGGAUAUGGAUGGGCUCGCGUGACAUUAGCUAGUUGGUGGGGUAACGGCCCACCAAGGCGACGAUGUCUAGGGGCUCUGAGAGGGGAAUCCCCCACACUGGUACUGAGACACGGACCAGACUCCUACGGGAGGCAGCAGUAAGGAAUAUUGGUCAAUGGACGGAAGCCUGAACCAGCCAUGCCGCGUGCAGGACGACUGCCCUAUGGGUUGUAAACUGCUUUUGUACGGGAAUAACCCUCUCUACGUGUAGAGAGCUGAACGUACCGUAAGAAUAAGGAUCGGCUAACUCCGUGCCAGCCGCCGCCGUAA